AUUGAACGCUGGCGGCAGGCCUAACACAUGCAAGUCGAGCGGAUGAAGGGAGCUUGCUCCUGGAUUCAGCGGCGGACGGGUGAGUAAUGCCUAGGAAUCUGCCUGGUAGUGGGGGAUAACGUCCGGAAACGGGCGCUAAUACCGCAUACGUCCUGAGGGAGAAAGGGGGGGAUCUUCGGACCUCACGCCAUCAGAGGAGCCUAGGUCGGAUUAGCUAGUUGGUGGGGUAAAGGCCUACCAAGGCGACGAUCCGUAACUGGUCUGAGAGGAUGAUCAGUCACACUGGAACUGAGACACGGUCCAGACUCCUACGGGAGGCAGCAGUGGGGAAUAUUGGACAAUGGGCGAAAGCCUGAUCCAGCCAUGCCGCGUGUGUGAAGAAGGUCUUCGGAUUGUAAAGCACUUUAAGUUGGGAGGAAGGGCAGUAAGUUAAUACCUUGCUGUUUUGACGUUACCAACAGAAUAAGCACCGGCUAACUUCGUG
RNAcentral lists this ribosomal RNA (484 nucleotides) under uncultured bacterium. RNAcentral's name for it is "partial 16S ribosomal RNA". It matches the Rfam family "Bacterial small subunit ribosomal RNA", at positions 30 to 507 of the family's 1533-position model. The record is from RNAcentral.